This 475-nucleotide ribosomal RNA is filed under the name uncultured organism. Its description in RNAcentral is "partial 16S ribosomal RNA". It matches the Rfam family "Bacterial small subunit ribosomal RNA", at positions 333 to 799 of the family's 1533-position model. The record is from RNAcentral.
ACACUCCUACGGGAGGCAGCAGUGGGGAAUUUUGGACAAUGGGCGUAAGCCUGAUCCAGCAAUGCCGCGUGUGUGAAGAAGGCCUUCGGGUUGUAAAGCACUUUUGUCCGGAAAGAAAUCCUUGGCUCUAAUACAGUCGGGGGAUGACGGUACCGGAAGAAUAAGCACCGGCUAACUACGUGCCAGCAGCCGCGGUAAUACGUAGGGUGCGAGCGUUAAUCGGAAUUACUGGGCGUAAAGCGUGCGCAGGCGGUUUGCUAAGACCGAUGUGAAAUCCCCGGGCUCAACCUGGGAAAUGCAUUGGUGACUGGCAGGCUAGAGUAUGGCAGAGGGGGGUAGAAUUCCACGUGUAGCAGUGAAAUGCGUAGAGAUGUGGAGGAAUACCGAUGGCGAAGGCAGCCCCCUGGGCCAAUACUGACGCUCAUGCACGAAAGCGUGGGGAGCAAACAGGAUUAGAUACCCGGGUAGUCCCAUG